Molecule: ribosomal RNA, 479 nt
Filed under: uncultured Oceanospirillaceae bacterium
Lineage: Bacteria; Pseudomonadati; Pseudomonadota; Gammaproteobacteria; Oceanospirillales; Oceanospirillaceae
Description: bacterial SSU rRNA
Rfam family: Bacterial small subunit ribosomal RNA
Source: RNAcentral
GGCGGACGGGUGAGUAACGCGUAGGAAUCUGCCUAGUAGAGGGGGACAACAUGUGGAAACGCAUGCUAAUACCGCAUAAUCCCUAAGGGGGAAAGGAGGGGACUCAUUUGAGCCUUCCGCUAUUAGAUGAGCCUGCGUGAGAUUAGCUAGUUGGUAGGGUAAAGGCCUACCAAGGCGACGAUCUCUAGCUGGUCUGAGAGGAUGACCAGCCACACUGGGACUGAGACACGGCCCAGACUCCUACGGGAGGCAGCAGUGGAGAAUAUUGGACAAUGGGGGGAACCCUGAUCCAGCCAUGCCGCGUGUGUGAAGAAGGCCUUAGGGUUGUAAAGCACUUUCAGGAGGGAGGAAAGGAUGACGGUUAAUACCUGUUAUCUGUGACGUUACCUUCAGAAGAAGCACCGGCUAACUCUGUGCCAGCAGCCGCGGUAAUACAGAGGGUGCAAGCGUUAAUCGGAAUUACUGGGCGUAAAGCGCGC